GACGAACGCUGGCGGCGUGCUUAACACAUGCAAGUCGAACGGAAAGGCCCUGCUUUUGUGGGGUGCUCGAGUGGCGAACGGGUGAGUAACACGUGAGUAACCUGCCCUUGACUUUGGGAUAACUUCAGGAAACUGGGGCUAAUACCGGAUAGGAGCUCCUGCUGCAUGGUGGGGGUUGGAAAGUUUCGGCGGUUGGGGAUGGACUCGCGGCUUAUCAGCUUGUUGGUGGGGUAGUGGCUUACCAAGGCUUUGACGGGUAGCCGGCCUGAGAGGGUGACCGGCGCCAGGGUGAGAGGGCUACGGCGCACGAUACGGGGAGGGGCAGCGGUGGGGACUGCUGAACGGUGCGCGGGCGCCGGAGGCCACAACGCGGGGUGGGGGAUGACGGGCUUGGGGUUGGACGCCGCUUCCGCCUGUGCCGGGUGGUGAGAGGCGGGUAUGGGAAAAGAAGCGCCGGAGCACAAAGGCCCAGGAGCCGGGGGAGUAAUGGGACACCCACCCUUCAGACC
Molecule: ribosomal RNA, 509 nt
Filed under: uncultured bacterium
Lineage: Bacteria
Description: partial 16S ribosomal RNA
Rfam family: Bacterial small subunit ribosomal RNA (bases 15-371)
Source: RNAcentral